UACGGAGGAUCCAAGCGUUAUCCGGAAUCAUUGGGUUUAAAGGGUCCGUAGGCGGUUUAGUAAGUCAGUGGUGAAAGCCCAUCGCUCAACGGUGGAACGGCCAUUGAUACUGCUAGACUUGAAUUACUAGGAAGUAACUAGAAUAUGUAGUGUAGCGGUGAAAUGCGUAGAGAUGUGGAGGAACACCAAUGGCGAAGGCAGCCCCCUGGGUCGAUACUGACGCUCAUGCACGAAAGCGUGGGUAGCAAACAGG
RNAcentral lists this ribosomal RNA (253 nucleotides) under uncultured prokaryote. RNAcentral describes it as "partial 16S ribosomal RNA". It matches the Rfam family "Bacterial small subunit ribosomal RNA", at positions 524 to 776 of the family's 1533-position model. The record is from RNAcentral.